Molecule: ribosomal RNA, 888 nt
Filed under: methanogenic prokaryote enrichment culture B31_1_19
Description: bacterial SSU rRNA
Rfam family: Bacterial small subunit ribosomal RNA
Source: RNAcentral
AGAGUUUGAUCCUGGCUCAGGAUGAACGUUGGCGGUGUGCCUAAUACAUGCAAGUCGAACGGAGUUAAUAGCAAUAUUGACUUAGUGGCGAACGGGUGAGUAACGCGUUGGUGAUCUGCCUCGAAGUGUGGAAUAACGUUCCGAAAGGAACGCUAAUACCGCAUGUGCUCUCGAUUUUUAGAAAGUUGAGAGUAAAGGAUUUAUUCGCUUCGAGAGGAGCCUGCGUCCCAUCAGCUAGUUGGUAGGGUAAUAGCCUACCAAGGCUUUGACGGGUAGGGGACCUGAGAGGGUGGCCCCCCACAAUGGAACUGAAACACGGUCCAUACACCUACGGGUGGCAGCAGUAGGGAAUAUUAGAAAUGGACGAAAGUCUGAUCUAGCGACACCGCGUGUGCGAUGAAGGCCUUCGGGUUGUAAAGCACUUUUUGGAAGGAAUAGGAAGGAAGGUACUUCCAGAAUAAGUCUCGGCUAACUACGUGCCAGCAGCCGCGGUAACACGUAGGAGGCAAACGUUAUCCGGAUUUACUGGGCGUAAAGCGCGUGUAGGUGGUUCUGUAAGUAGGGCGUGAAAGCUCCCGGCUCAACUGGGAGAGGCCGUUCUAAACUGCAGAACUAGAGGAUGGUAGAGGGAGGUGGAAUUCCAGGUGUAGCGGUGGAAUGCGCAGAUAUCUGGAGGAACACCAGUGGCGAAAGCGGCCUCCUGGACCAUUCCUGACGCUCAGACGCGAAAGCUAGGGUAGCAAACGGGAUUAGAGACCCCGGUAGUCCUAGCCCUAAACGAUGUAGACUAGACGUCGGUGGUGUAAUAGCUGUCGGUGUCCAAGCUAACGCGAUAAGUCUACCGCCUGGGGACUACGGCCGCAAGGUUAAACUCAAAGGAAUUGACGG